This 497-nucleotide ribosomal RNA is filed under the name uncultured bacterium. RNAcentral describes it as "partial 16S ribosomal RNA". It matches the Rfam family "Bacterial small subunit ribosomal RNA", at positions 28 to 507 of the family's 1533-position model. The record is from RNAcentral.
GAUGAACGCUGGCGGCGUGCCUAAUACAUGCAAGUCGAGCGAACAGACGAGGAGCUUGCUCCUCUGACGUUAGCGGCGGACGGGUGAGUAACACGUGGAUAACCUACCUAUAAGACUGGGAUAACUUCGGGAAACCGGAGCUAAUACCGGAUAAUAUAUUGAACCGCAUGGUUCAAUAGUGAAAGACGGUUUUGCUGUCACUUAUAGAUGGAUCCGCGCCGCAUUAGCUAGUUGUUAAGGUAACGGCUCACCAAGGCAACGAUGCGUAGCCGACCUGAGAGGGUGAUCGGCCACACUGGAACUGAGACACGGUCCAGACUCCUACGGGAGGCAGCAGUAGGGAAUCUUCCGCAAUGGGCGAAAGCCUGACGGAGCAACGCCGCGUGAGUGAUGAAGGUCUUCGGAUCGUAAAACUCUGUUAUUAGGGAAGAACAAAUGUGUAAGUAACUAUGCACGUCUUGACGGUACCUAAUCAGAAAGCCACGGCUAACUACGUG